Molecule: long non-coding RNA, 208 nt
Organism: Mastomys coucha (southern multimammate mouse)
Lineage: Eukaryota; Metazoa; Chordata; Mammalia; Rodentia; Muridae
Exons: 2
Source: RefSeq, a predicted model, not a curated record
UGCAGCAGUACAGGGAAGGCCAUCACAUGUGAACUGGAAAGGAGCCAACAUGGAGACACAGAGAAAGCAAGAUCCCAGGAGCUUCACUACCUGUCUCCACAGAGCUCCUAACAAGAUGCAACAGUGACUGCGUCACCAUUCCCCACUUUUCUCAACUACGCAGUGACAACCUCCCAGCAUCACCCCACUUCUCCCAGCCCACACCCUA